Molecule: ribosomal RNA, 518 nt
Filed under: uncultured bacterium
Lineage: Bacteria
Description: bacterial SSU rRNA
Rfam family: Bacterial small subunit ribosomal RNA
Source: RNAcentral
GAGUUUGAUCCUGGCUCAGGACGAACGCUGGCGGCGUGCUUAACACAUGCAAGUCGAACGAGAAUCUGCUGAAGGAGGAUUCGUCCAACGGAAGUAGAGGAAAGUGGCGGACGGGUGAGUAACGCGUGAGUAACCUGCCCUAGAGUGGGGGACAACAGUUGGAAACGACUGCUAAUACCGCAUAAGCCCACGGUACCGCAUGGUACUGAGGGAAAAGGAUUUAUUCGCUUCAGGAUGGACUCGCGUCCAAUUAGCUAGUUGGUGAGGUAACGGCCCACCAAGGCGACGAUUGGUAGCCGGACUGAGAGGUUGAACGGCCACAUUGGGACUGAGACACGGCCCAGACUCCUACGGGAGGCAGCAGUGGGGGAUAUUGCACAAUGGGGGAAACCCUGAUGCAGCGACGCCGCGUGGAGGAAGAAGGUUUUCGGAUUGUAAACUCCUGUCGUUAGGGACGAUAAUGACGGUACCUAACAAGAAAGCACCGGCUAACUACGUGCCAGCCGCCGCGGUAAUAC